CAUAGCCACGGUAAUACGUAGGGUGCAAGCGUUAAUCGGAAUUACUGGGCGUAAAGCGUGCGCAGGCGGUUAUAUAAGACAGAUGUGAAAUCCCCGGGCUCAACCUGGGAACUGCAUUUGUGACUGUAUAGCUAGAGUACGGCAGAGGGGGAUGGAAUUCCGCGUGUAGCAGUGAAAUGCGUAGAUAUGCGGAGGAACACCGAUGGCGAAGGCAAUCCCCUGGGCCUGUACUGACGCUCAUGCACGAAAGCGUGGGGAGCAAACAGGAUUAGAUACCCGCGUAGUCCCUGUCUCUUAUACC
Molecule: ribosomal RNA, 301 nt
Filed under: uncultured bacterium
Lineage: Bacteria
Description: partial 16S ribosomal RNA
Rfam family: Bacterial small subunit ribosomal RNA
Source: RNAcentral